Non-coding RNA from Triticum aestivum (bread wheat), 168 nucleotides. The record is from Rfam. NCBI's taxonomy places the organism in Eukaryota, Viridiplantae, Streptophyta, Magnoliopsida, Poales, Poaceae.
AAUAUACUCCUCCGUAUCAAAAUUCUUAUCUUAGAUUUGUCUAGAUACGGAUGUAUCAAAGUCACAUCCGUAUCUAGACAAAAUCUAAGACAAAAACUUUGGGACGGAGGGUCACAUCCGUAUCUAGACAAAUCUAAGAUAAGAAUUUUGGGACGGAGGGAGUAUCCA